UAAGCCGUUGAAGGUGUCCUGUGAGGGGUGCUGGAGGUAUCAGAAGUGCGAAUGCUGACAUAAGUAACGAUAAAGCGGGUGAAAAGCCCGCUCGCCGGAAGACCAAGGGUUCCUGUCCAACGUUAAUCGGGGCAGGGUGAGUCGACCCCUAAGGCGAGGCCGAAAGGCGUAGUCGAUGGGAAACGGGUUAAUAUUCCCGUACUUGGUGUUACUGCGAAGGGGGGACGGAGAAGGCUAUGUUGGCCGGGCGACGGUAGUCCCGGUUUAAGCGUGUAGGUGUGUGUUCCAGGUAAAUCCGGUUCACUUUAACACUGAGGCGUGAUGACGAGGCACCACGGUGCUGAAGCAACAAAUGCCCUGCUUCCAGGAAAAGCCUCUAAGCAUCAGGUAACAUCAAAUCGUACCCCAAACCGACACAGGUGGUCAGGUAGAGAAUACCAAGGCGCUUGAGAGAACUCGGGUGAAGGAACUAGGCAAAAUGGUGCCGUAACUUCGGGAGAAGGCACGCUGACACGUAGGUGAAGUGAUUUACUCA
RNAcentral lists this ribosomal RNA (535 nucleotides) under Salmonella enterica. Its description in RNAcentral is "partial 23S ribosomal RNA". It matches the Rfam family "Bacterial large subunit ribosomal RNA", at positions 1243 to 1773 of the family's 2925-position model. Lineage: Bacteria; Pseudomonadati; Pseudomonadota; Gammaproteobacteria; Enterobacterales; Enterobacteriaceae. The record is from RNAcentral.